AAUAUUAAUAAAUAACAAUCACAUCUUCUAGAGCUUUGUUCUACCAAUUAGGUGCAUGAUUGGUUGGACUGUAAGUCUGACUUACAGCCUUAAUUUUUCUUAAAGCCUUGAUUAUGUACCAAUCGUGUUGUACCUUUAUUUUUAAACUUACAACCCAAAUUUUUUUUCCUUUUUUUAAUAUUGUAGUAGAAUUUUCUUGGCUGUAGAAAUUUUAAUUCAUUAGAUAAAUACAAAAAAU
Molecule: small RNA, 238 nt
Filed under: Arabidopsis thaliana (thale cress)
Lineage: Eukaryota; Viridiplantae; Streptophyta; Magnoliopsida; Brassicales; Brassicaceae
Description: ATSL098270
Source: RNAcentral